This 450-nucleotide ribosomal RNA is filed under the name uncultured bacterium. Its description in RNAcentral is "bacterial SSU rRNA". It matches the Rfam family "Bacterial small subunit ribosomal RNA", at positions 354 to 796 of the family's 1533-position model. The record is from RNAcentral.
GUGGGGAAUUUUGGACAAUGGGCGCAAGCCUGAUCCAGCCAUGCCGCGUGCAGGAUGAAGGCCUUCGGGUUGUAAACUGCUUUUGUACGGAACGAAAAGACUCUUUCUAAUAAAGAGGGUCCAUGACGGUACCGUAAGAAUAAGCACCGGCUAACUACGUGCCAGCAGCCGCGGUAAUACGUAGGGUGCGAGCGUUAAUCGGAAUUACUGGGCGUAAAGCGUGCGCAGGCGGUGAUGUAAGACAGAUGUGAAAUCCCCGGGCUCAACCUGGGAACUGCAUUUGUGACUGCAUCGCUGGAGUGCGGCAGAGGGGGAUGGAAUUCCGCGUGUAGCAGUGAAAUGCGUAGAUAUGCGGAGGAACACCGAUGGCGAAGGCAAUCCCCUGGGCCUGCACUGACGCUCAUGCACGAAAGCGUGGGGAGCAAACAGGAUUAGAUACCCGGGUAGUCC